GGGGGAACCGAACCCCCGGAGUCCGCCUGCAGGGGCUGGCUCCAAACCACCCCGAGCGGCAUUGGCUGAAGACCGUUGUCGUAAGCAUCGAGGGAAAAGGCUCACCCAUGUGGUGUGUCAGGU
RNAcentral lists this non-coding RNA (123 nucleotides) under Marinobacter sp. LV10R510-11A. The record is from RNAcentral. Lineage: Bacteria; Pseudomonadati; Pseudomonadota; Gammaproteobacteria; Pseudomonadales; Marinobacteraceae.